This 345-nucleotide unclassified non-coding RNA is filed under the name soil metagenome. RNAcentral's name for it is "partial contains 5.8S ribosomal RNA, internal transcribed spacer 2, and large subunit ribosomal RNA". The stretch from base 1 to 121 matches the Rfam family "5.8S ribosomal RNA", at positions 35 to 154 of the family's 154-position model. The record is from RNAcentral.
GAUGAAGAACGUAGCGAAAUGCGAUAAGUAAUGCGAAUUGCAGAAUUUCCGUGAGUCAUCGAAUCUUUGAACGCACAUUGCGCCCACUGGUAUUCCGGUGGGCAUGCCUGUUCGAGCGUCAUUAUCCUCCCUCAAACCCCGGGUCUGGUGUUGGACCCAAGUUGUGUGAACAACUGGUCUCAAAGACAAUGACGGCGUCCGUGGGACCCUCGGUGCAACGAGCUUUUAGGAGCACGCAUCGAGUUGCAAGGACCUUCCGGGCCGGUCUCCUUUACCAUUUUACAAGGUUGACCUCGGAUCAGGUAGGAAUACCCGCUGAACUUAAGCAUAUCAAUAAGCGGAGGA